ACAGGAUAAGUGGGAAGCUGCAAUGGAAACACCCAGAAUCAAUACAUAAAAUCCACCACUGAGGACCUAAAAAUUUAUAGGAUGCAAAUAUCAAAGCUUUCAAAUUUCAUCACUUUUAUUUCACUGUGAACAUUAGUUUUUUUAAAAAAUCAGGUUACCUGUUCUACAAUUCACUCUGCUCCAAAUCACAGUUCUGGUAAAACAGUUCCCAGAAACAAAACAAGAAAUUCACUCAAGUGCAAAUGCAAUUUUCUUUCUCUUUUUAUAAAUGGUAAGCAUGGCUUUUGUUUUAGGUGGAACUGAGUGAAACUGCUAAAGACUCUGUUAGGACAGGUGCACAACUCUAAGGCACACACACAAUCAGAGAAAAGAAGAAAAACAGAACAUGAGAUUUAUGUUGUUCAACUGUAAAGUUUACAUUCAUAAACACCACACAAGAGAAA
Molecule: unclassified non-coding RNA, 443 nt
Filed under: Hevea brasiliensis (rubber tree)
Lineage: Eukaryota; Viridiplantae; Streptophyta; Magnoliopsida; Malpighiales; Euphorbiaceae
Source: RNAcentral